CAGCAGCCGCCGCGGUAAUACGUAGGUGGCAAGCGUUGUCCGGAAUUAUUGGGCGUAAAGCGCGCACAGGCGGAUCAGUCAGUCUGUCUUAAAAGUUCGGGGCUUAACCCCGUGAUGGGAUGGAAACUGCUGAUCUAGAGUAUCGGAGAGGAAAGUGGAAUUCCUAGUGUAGCGGUGAAAUGCGUAGAUAUUAGGAAGAACACCAGUGGCGAAGGCGACUUUCUGGACGAAAACUGACGCUGAGGCGCGAAAGCCAGGGGAGCGAACGGGAUUAGAUACCCCAGUAGUCCCUGUCUCUUAUACA
Molecule: ribosomal RNA, 304 nt
Filed under: uncultured bacterium
Lineage: Bacteria
Description: partial 16S ribosomal RNA
Rfam family: Bacterial small subunit ribosomal RNA
Source: RNAcentral